This 197-nucleotide ribosomal RNA is filed under the name uncultured bacterium. Its description in RNAcentral is "partial 16S ribosomal RNA". It matches the Rfam family "Bacterial small subunit ribosomal RNA", at positions 328 to 539 of the family's 1533-position model. The record is from RNAcentral.
ACGCUCGACACCUACGGGAGGAGCAGUGGGGAAUAUUGCACAAUGGGGGAAACCCUGAUGCAGCGACGCCGCGUGGAGGAAGAAGGUCUUCGGAUUGUAAACUCCUGUUGUUGGGGAAAAAGAGGAUGGUACCCAACAAGGAAGUGACGGCUAACUACGUGCCAGCAGCCGCGGUAAUCUGAGCGGGCUGGCAAGGC